Long non-coding RNA from Dreissena polymorpha, 1105 nucleotides. RefSeq lists it as uncharacterized. The transcript is spliced from 5 exons. The record is from RefSeq and is a predicted model, not a curated record. Lineage: Eukaryota; Metazoa; Mollusca; Bivalvia; Myida; Dreissenidae.
GAGUAAUAUCACAACUGGUUCACGCCGGGUAUGCGAAUACUUCGUUGACGGAUGGCACUUCACUAACAGAGAACAACAAACGCCACGCGCGAGAGUUGAGCACGGUGCAGACGGUGCGCGCGUGUUGAACUGGUACCACCGUCAGUUAACGGAAGCUGCGCACGAGCGCUACUGCGCAGAUUUUGCGCAGAAAAGCGUCUUCAUAGCAACCUAGCUGAUUUCUUCGCGGGAACCUGGGCCAAUGGGAGAAAAAGCCGUAUACGAACGAUGAAGGGGAGGUAAUAGAAGAGAACCGCUAUGGGACGUCACAGCCCUUUCGCUUCAGAGAGGAUGACUACAACAAUCGGGCUCUCAACAAUCUGCCCUAUCUCCGCUUGCACGCGGGUCACGUUGACCUUCUCAAGAAGGAGUGUCUCGCCAAUGUGCACUUUGGUUACACGCACUUCUUGUUGAGGCGCUUUUAGACGACUUCACGGCGGCCAAAGCGGCAUUCCCGGGGAAACCCCUGAUCAAGUGCAUUCUGGAGGCGCUUCUGCUCGCCCGGAAUGGCCUGCAGAUGGAUCCGGUUCAGUUCAUGCUUCAGCUACUAGGGCGCCUGGAGGACAACGAAACAACAGCCGAGUUCAAGCAGCGCUUACGUGAAUAUAGCUCAAAAGUGUGGUUCGAGCCCGAUGUCAACAUCCUGGAGCGUCCCGGGGGUCAACUGCUUCACGGCAUUCACGUGCACACGUCCGAAAUUUACAUGAUGACGAUUACGUCAUGUGGACAUUAUGUAAUCACAGGUGCAUUAUACGUUAUGGCUUAACUUUAUAAAAGAGUUGCUUUUUUGGGGCGGGUUUACGAAACUGAAUUAACGUUUUUAGUUUCGCAAUUUUCGACAUGUAUAAAUUGUAAGAGUGGAUAUUUUAUUACAGUUUUGAACUUUCUUUAUCAACAUAUAUAAGCGUAAUCGAGGCCACAUAUUUCCAUUACGAUGAAACAAAUAUUGCACGAGAGAGGUCGGUAUUUACCGUUUAAUGGUGUGAUGAAAAAUGAAAUAAUUCACAGUCAUCUACAGAAACGAAACCAAAAUAAAUUGGUUCUAAAAUGUAAACAAACGUGAAAC